This 448-nucleotide ribosomal RNA is filed under the name uncultured bacterium. RNAcentral's name for it is "SSU rRNA". It matches the Rfam family "Bacterial small subunit ribosomal RNA", at positions 26 to 518 of the family's 1533-position model. The record is from RNAcentral.
AGAGCGAACGCUGGCGGCAGGCCUAACACAUGCAAGUCGAGCGCCCGUAGCAAUACGGGAGCGGCAGACGGGAGAGUAACACGUGGGAACGCGCCCUUCGGUUCGGAAUAACUCAGGGAAACUUGAGCUAAUACCGGAUACGCCCUUACGGGGAAAGAUUUAUUGCCGAAGGAACGGCCCGCGUCCGAUUAGCUAGUUGGUGAGGUAAUGGCUCACCAAGGCGACGAUCGGUAGCUGGUCUGAGAGGAUGACCAGCCUCACUGGGACUGAGACACGGCCCAGACUCCUACGGGAGGCAGCAGUGGGGAAUAUUGGACAAUGGGCGCAAGCCUGAUCCAGCCAUGCCGCGUGGAUGAUGAAGGCCCUAGGGUUGUAAAGUCCUUUCGGCGGGGAAGAGUAAUGACGGUACCCGCAGAAGAAGCCCGGCUAACUUCGCGCCAGCAGCCGC